GUGUACGGCCAUGCCACCUUGAACAAGCCCGACCCCGUCCGAUCUCGGAAGCUAAGCAGGGUCGGGCCUGGUUAGUACUUAGAUGGGAGACUACCUAGGAAGACCAGGUGCUGUAGGCG
This 119-nucleotide ribosomal RNA is filed under the name Pteropus alecto (black flying fox). The record is from RNAcentral. Lineage: Eukaryota; Metazoa; Chordata; Mammalia; Chiroptera; Pteropodidae.